RNAcentral lists this ribosomal RNA (468 nucleotides) under uncultured bacterium. Its description in RNAcentral is "partial 16S ribosomal RNA". It matches the Rfam family "Bacterial small subunit ribosomal RNA", at positions 28 to 507 of the family's 1533-position model. The record is from RNAcentral.
GACGAACGCUGGCGGCGUGCUUAACACAUGCAAGUCGAACGGAAAGGCCCUGCUUUUGUGGGGUGCUCGAGUGGCGAACGGGUGAGUAACACGUGAGUAACCUGCCCUUGACUUUGGGAUAACUUCAGGAAACUGGGGCUAAUACCGGAUAGGAGCUCCUGCUGCAUGGUGGGGGUUGGAAAGUUUCGGCGGUUGGGGAUGGACUCGCGGCUUAUCAGCUUGUUGGUGGGGUAGUGGCUUACCAAGGCUUUGACGGGUAGCCGGCCUGAGAGGGUGACCGGCCACAUUGGGACUGAGAUAAGGCCCAGACUCCUACGGGAGGCAGCAGUGGGGAAUAUUGCACAAUGGGCGGAAGCCUGAUGCAGCAACGCCGCGUGCGGGAUGACGGCCUUUGGGUUGUAAACCGCUUUCGCCUGGGACGAAGCGUGAGUGACGGUAAUGGGUAAAGAAGCACCGGCUAACUACGUG